GGAAGUAUGCCCGAAAAAUAAGGACCUCUUUGAUAGAGAGGACCAUAGGGGUUUAAAUCCCCUUACUUCC
RNAcentral lists this transfer RNA (70 nucleotides) under Scinax littoralis (Rio Verde snouted treefrog). RNAcentral's name for it is "partial tRNA-Ile". The record is from RNAcentral. Lineage: Eukaryota; Metazoa; Chordata; Amphibia; Anura; Hylidae. RNAcentral also lists the same sequence under 1 other name.